Chiloscyllium plagiosum (whitespotted bambooshark) is the source of this 666-nucleotide non-coding RNA. The record is from RefSeq and is a predicted model, not a curated record. Lineage: Eukaryota; Metazoa; Chordata; Chondrichthyes; Orectolobiformes; Hemiscylliidae.
GUAUCAUAUUACAAUUGGAAAGAUUGAUUGUUAUUUUAUGAUUGGAAUAUUGGUCAACUCUGAACUUGUAAGGAGAAAACACCAAGUGGGGAGAAACUGUGCACCUGUCCUGUGUGUGGAUGAAAUCAUCUGAACUGUCAAGACAUAAUCACAGUCAUGCUGGGGAGAAAGUAUGGAAAUAUGAGGACAGUGAAUGAGGAUUCAAAUCCCCACCUCAACUGGAAAUUCAUCAAUGCACUCACACUGAGGAAAGGCCAUUCAUCUGCUCUAAGUGUGGGAAGGGAUUCACUCAGUCUUCUCAACUGCAGGCAGACCACAGAGUUCACCCAGAUAAAAGAACUUUUAAAAUGACUAGACUGUGGAAAAUGCCAUAGAAAUUCUGGGCAACUGAUGUGCCAUUGACGUAUUCGAACAGAGGAGAGACCAUUCAGGAGUUCGCACUGCGGCAUUAAGUUCAGGCAAUCAUUUCAACUCCCUACACACCAGCGAGAUCACACUGUGUAGAGGCUGAGAAUCUGCUCUGACUGCGGGAAGGCGUUCAUUCAGUCAUCCAGCUGCAGAUAUAUCGGCAAACCCAGACUGUUCCCCUGAGCCGAAUGAGAAGGCAUUCUGUACCAUAUCCUGUGUGCAAAAACAUCGGCGGAGGGAACAACAUCCAGAGAAAUG